RNAcentral lists this ribosomal RNA (253 nucleotides) under uncultured bacterium. RNAcentral describes it as "partial 16S ribosomal RNA". It matches the Rfam family "Bacterial small subunit ribosomal RNA", at positions 524 to 776 of the family's 1533-position model. The record is from RNAcentral.
UACAGAGGUGGCAAGCGUUGUUCGGAAUUAUUGGGCGUAAAGAGCUCGUAGGCGGUCUGUCGCGUCGGAUGUGAAAACUCGGGGCUCAACCCCGAGCCUGCAUUCGAUACGGGCAGACUAGAGUUCGGUAAGGGAGACUGGAAUUCCUGGUGUAGCGGUGAAAUGCGCAGAUAUCAGGAGGAACACCGGUGGCGAAGGCGGGUCUCUGGGCCGAUACUGACGCUGAGGAGCGAAAGCGUGGGGAGCGAACAGG